This 253-nucleotide ribosomal RNA is filed under the name uncultured bacterium. Its description in RNAcentral is "partial 16S ribosomal RNA". It matches the Rfam family "Bacterial small subunit ribosomal RNA", at positions 524 to 776 of the family's 1533-position model. The record is from RNAcentral.
UACAGAGGUGUCAAACGUUGUCCGGAAUUACUGGGCGUAAAGGGUGCGUAGGCGGCGGCAUAAGUCAGAUGUGAAAGCUCUGGGCUCAACCCAGGAAUUGCAUCUGAUACUGUGUCGCUUGAGUUCGGUAGAGGAGGGCGGAAUUCCUGGUGUAGCAGUGAAAUGCGUAGAUAUCAGGAGGAACACCUGUGGCGAAGGCGGCUCUCUGGUCCGAUACUGACGCUGAGGCACGAAAGCUAGGGGAGCAAACAGG